UACGAAGGGGGCUAGCGUUGCUCGGAAUCACUGGGCGUAAAGCGCACGUAGGCGGAUUGUUAAGUCAGGGGUGAAAUCCUGGAGCUCAACUCCAGAACUGCCUUUGAUACUGGUGAGCUUGAGUCCGGGAGAGGUGAGUGGAACUGCGAGUGUAGAGGUGAAAUUCGUAGAUAUUCGCAAGAACACCAGUGGCGAAGGCGGCUCACUGGCCCGGUACUGACGCUGAGGUGCGAAAGCGUGGGGAGCAAACAGG
RNAcentral lists this ribosomal RNA (253 nucleotides) under uncultured bacterium. RNAcentral describes it as "partial 16S ribosomal RNA". It matches the Rfam family "Bacterial small subunit ribosomal RNA", at positions 524 to 776 of the family's 1533-position model. The record is from RNAcentral.